UUCAAUUUUCAAAACAUUUCAAAAUCGUCCGCUUCCCUGCUCCUCUCUCACUGGCGAUUCCAGAUCUGGAUCUAGGGUUUUUCUCCAAGGCGAUUCAAGAUCUAGCCUUUCUCCACGCACAUAACCUCUGUUGCCGUUUUUACCUUUAAACAUCCAAUCAGGUGAUGAGGAGUAGUUUCGACGGAAUAUUCCGGCGAGCUUAAGCGGCGGAGAGACGGAAUCGUGCAGCGGCUGUACUCCAAACGGUGUAGUAAUUGUGACGUGGAUCUGAAUGAGCGGAUUCCGAACGGCGUUGGCCGGAAGGUGAAUGAUGACGUCAGAGGAGGUGAGAUUCGCCGUUAACUCUGCAAGAGGAUGAAGAUGAUGAACCAGAUCCGUGUGGAGGUCUGUUUGAUGAUGAGCACUCUAAAGUUCUGAGAAUUAAAGAGCAGCUUGAGGAUUCAAAUCAGACUGAUGAUGCUAUUGUUGAUUUGCUUCAAACCCUAGCUGAUAUGGAUCUGACUUUUACAGUCCUUAAGGAAACUGAUAUAUGAAGGAAUGUUAACCGACUUCGAAAGCAUCCGUCAAAUGAAGUAAGAGGACUGGUGAAGCACUUGGUGAGGAAAUGGAAGGAUUUGGUGGAUGAAUGGGUUGGGUCGAACAAUAGUGCGCUCGCACGCUCUACUUUUACAGAAGGUGAUUCGCCUUUGGUGCAGAAUGUAUCAAGCGGCUUACUCAAAGUUAGAUUAAAUGGUAAAGCGUCAAAUGAGUUGAACUGAUAUGUAACGCAGUUUUUGCUGCCCGAAUAAUGAAUGCCACCCUUGUGCUGCCCGAGCUUGAUACGAAUUCCUAUUGGCAUGAUGACAGUGGUUUCUAAGGUAUAUAUGAUGUUGAUUAUUUUAUCAAGUCAUUGCGGUAUGAUGUUCAUGUUGUCGAAAGCAUCCCUGAAAUUAGGAAACACGGAAGGACAAAGAAGAUAAAAUCUUUUCAGCUUCGUCCACCUAGAGAUGCGCCUAUUAGUUGGUAUACAAUGGUUGCUUUGGAGAAAAUGAAGGAACAUGGUGCUAUUUAUCUCACACCAUUUUCUCAUCGAUUAGCGGAAGGGAACGAUAAUUCGGAAUAUCAACGGUUAAGAUGUAGAGUCAACUAUCAUGCCCUUAGAUUUAAGCCGCAUAUCGUGCUGUUAAGUCAGUCAAUAGUUGCUAACCUUCGCUCACAAGGUCACUUCAUGUCAAUACAUCUUCGGUUUGAAAAGGAUAUGUUGUCAUUUGCGGGGUGUUUUGAUAUACUUACCCCACAUGAACAAAAGAUAUUGAUGAAAUACCGAAAGGAAAACUUUGCUGACAAGAAACUUGUUUAUAGUGAAAGAAGGGCUAUUGGAAAAUGUCCUUUAACUCCAGAUGAAGUGUUUUCUAGCAAGGACAAGGAUAGUAAUAACGGGAGUUCGGAUACUUCGGAUAGCCGUUCGACGAAUGCUGAGGAGACAAAGUCGGGCAUGCCGACAUUGAGGAGCCAGAGGCAUUCUGUGUCAUAGAUCAUGUCUUGUGUAAAUUGGUUGUGUUUUAGGAUGUUUUGUAAGGGAGAAAGGGAGUUUUGAGGGGUUCGUAUGUUUGGAGAAUUUAAUGUACCAGUCAACAACUGAUUUUUUUUUAUUUUUUUUACUAUAAAGUGGUCCAAUUCUUAAGUUUUCAAUAAUAAUAAAAAUGUUAAAAUGGAGUGUAA
Molecule: RNA transcript, 1701 nt
Organism: Helianthus annuus (common sunflower)
Lineage: Eukaryota; Viridiplantae; Streptophyta; Magnoliopsida; Asterales; Asteraceae
Exons: 10
Source: RefSeq, a predicted model, not a curated record